AUGGAGGAGGGCGCGGCCGCGAGCAUGACCGUGGGGGAGAAGCGGGUGGCCGUCGACGUUCCCACGGACGCUGCCGCGGCGGCGAACGGGCACGGCCCGGAGGAGAAGGCGGCGGAGGAUGUUCCAGCGCCGUCUGCAUUGUCCGGCUGGCCCAGGACGACAGGGAUGUACCUCUUCGUCAUGAACAUCAGGAGCGUCUUCAAGCUCGAUGAGCUCGGGUCGGAGGUGCUGCGCAUUGCGGUGCCGGCGUCGCUUGCCUUGGCCGCCGAUCCCCUCGCCUCCUUGGUGGACACAGCAUUCAUCGGACGUCUAGGUUCGGUGGAGAUAGCAGCUGUUGGUGUUUCUAUUGCCAUAUUUAACCAAGUCUCGAAAGUCUGCAUCUACCCACUCGUUAGCGUAACAACAUCAUUCGUCGCUGAAGAAGAUGCCAUCAUUAGCAAGUACCUAGAAGAAAAUAACAGCAAAGACCUUGAGAAAGCCGCUCAUGUGCAUUCAGAUGCCUGCAAUGUGCCCGCAUCUGGUGGUGAUACGCCAGUGUGCGCUAAUUCUUGUAUACCCACAGAGUGUGCUGAUCUCUCCAAUCAAGGGUGCAAGAGAAGGUACAUACCUUCUGUGACAUCGGCUCUAAUUGUUGGCUCAUUUCUCGGGCUAGUCCAGGCCGUGUUCCUCAUCUUUUCGGCGAAAGUUGUGUUGGGCAUCAUGGGUGUGAAACAUGACUCACCAAUGCUAGAACCCGCGGUUCGAUACCUAACGAUCAGAUCACUUGGUGCUCCCGCUGUUCUCCUGUCUUUGGCAAUGCAGGGUGUUUUCCGAGGCUUCAAAGAUACAAAGACACCGUUGUAUGCUACCGUGGUUGGAGAUGCAACAAAUAUCAUCCUAGACCCAAUUUUGAUGUUUGUUUGCCACAUGGGUGUCACUGGUGCCGCAGUUGCUCAUGUCAUUUCCCAGUAUCUGAUAACCAUGAUCUUGAUAUGUCGGCUCGUCCAGCAAGUUGAUGUUAUCCCACCGAGCCUUAAAUCCCUGAAAUUUGGGCGGUUUCUUGGGUGUGGAUUCCUGCUGCUCGCGAGGGUGGUAGCGGUGACAUUCUGCGUCACUCUGGCGUCGUCGCUGGCAGCCCGCGACGGGCCAACCAUCAUGGCGGCCUUCCAGAUCUGCUGCCAGCUCUGGCUCGCGACGUCGCUUCUCGCCGAUGGAUUGGCCGUUGCUGGACAGGCAGUGCUCGCAAGCGCGUUCGCCAAGAACGAUACCAAGAAGGUGAUUGCCGCGACCUCUCGUGUUCUGCAGCUGAGCAUUGUUCUGGGGAUGGGUCUCACAGUGGUGCUCGGUCUCUUCAUGAAGUUCGGCGCCGGCGUUUUCACAAAGGACGCCGCUGUGAUCGACGUCAUCCACAAAGGCAUCCCGUUUGUCGCCGGCACGCAGACGAUAAACGCCCUGGCGUUCGUGUUCGACGGCAUCAACUUCGGAGCACAAGACUACACCUACUCUGCAUACUCCAUGGUUGGGGUGGCGUCCAUAUCCAUACCAUGCCUGGUGUACCUUUCUGCGCACAAGGGAUUCAUCGGCAUAUGGGUCGCAUUGACCAUCUACAUGAGCCUCAGGACCGUAGCCAGCACCUGGAGGAUGGGGGCAGCGAGCGGGCCAUGGGCUUUCCUCCGGAAGUGA
Molecule: ribosomal RNA, 1662 nt
Filed under: Triticum aestivum (bread wheat)
Lineage: Eukaryota; Viridiplantae; Streptophyta; Magnoliopsida; Poales; Poaceae
Description: partial small subunit ribosomal RNA
Source: RNAcentral